GAGUUUGAUCAUGGCUCAGGAUGAACGCUGGCGGCGUGCUUAACACAUGCAAGUCGAGCGAAAAUAAUUGAGAGCUUGCUUUUAAUUAUUUUAGCGGCGGACGGGUGAGUAACGUGUGGGCAACCUGCCUUUUACUGGGGAAUAAUCACUGGAAACGGUGACUAAUACCGCAUAAUAUUCUUAGGAGGCAUCUUCUGAGAAGGAAAGGAGAAAUUCGGUAAAAGAUGGGCCCGCAUCUGAUUAGCUAGUUGGUGAGAUAACAGCCCACCAAGGCAACGAUCAGUAGCCGACCUGAGAGGGUGACCGGCCACAUUGGGACUGAGACACGGCCCAAACUCCUACGGGAGGCAGCAGUGGGGAAUAUUGCACAAUGGGGGGAACCCUGAUGCAGCAACGCCGCGUGAAGGAAGACGGUUUUCGGAUUGUAAACUUCUAUCAAUAGGGAAGAAAGAAAUGACGGUACCUAAAUAAGAAGCCCCGGCUAACUACGUGCCAGCAGCCGCGGUAAUACGUAGGGGGCAAGCGUUAUCCGGAAUUACUGGGUGUAAAGGGAGAGUAGGCGGCAAGGUAAGCGAUAUGUGAAAGCCUUAGGCUUAACCUGAGGAUUGCAUAACGAACUACCUAGCUAGAGUACAGGUGAGGAAAGCGGAAUUCCUAGUGUAGCGGUGAAAUGCGUAGAUAUUAGGAAGAACACCAGUGGCGAAGGCGGCUUUCUGGACUGAAACUGACGCUGAGGCUCGAAAGCGUGGGGAGCGAACAGGAUUAGAUACCCUGGUAGUCCACGCUGUAAACGAUGAGUGCUAGGUGUCGGGGAGGAAUCCUCGGUGCCGGAGCAAACGCAAUAAGCACUCCACCUGGGGAGUACGACCGCAAGGUUGAAACUCAAAGGAAUUGACGG
Molecule: ribosomal RNA, 898 nt
Filed under: uncultured bacterium
Lineage: Bacteria
Description: bacterial SSU rRNA
Rfam family: Bacterial small subunit ribosomal RNA
Source: RNAcentral